This is a non-coding RNA of Xyrichtys novacula (pearly razorfish), 1670 nucleotides long. NCBI's taxonomy places the organism in Eukaryota, Metazoa, Chordata, Actinopteri, Labriformes, Labridae. The record is from the annotation of a GenBank genome assembly.
UUUAUUGUCUGUCUGGUAGAAUGAAGGAUAGAGGGGAGAGAGGGAGAAAGAGAGGGAUGAUAGGAGGAGAGAGGAGACAGGAGAGGAGGGAGGCUCGUGUUUGGGGAGGAAGGGAGACAACCAGGGAGGUAAAGGAAUGUACAAAAAAUUAGAAAGAUGAGGCUUUGACAUGUGGGUAUAAGGAGAAAAAUGUCUGAAAGUCUGUGAGUAGACUGGUUGACACCUUUAAUUACUUCUGUCAGUCUUCUUCUUGUUUUAUUUUCAGCCGUUCAAGACUGUCAUGGACUUGAACACAUGGCUGUGUGCACAUGUGUAUCUCUAACACAUUUGAAUCAAAUGCAAACUCUCCAGCAUGUAUGCGCUUGACACUUGAAGAGCUCAUGACAGUUUCAAUGAGAAUCACUCGUCAGUUUUGAAAUUCUACACACAAUAGCUCUGCACAACGCGAAGAAUAUGAUAUCAUAUACUGUACAUAAGCAGCUUUUCUGAGAUCUCCAGGUAAUCAAACGAGAUGAUUUCUACCAGAUUUGGGGUGUCAAAGAACUCCUCUGAAAGUGAUUGAUGAGUGCUGGGUAAUUGUCCAUUGUGAGGAGAUGUCAGAGGGAGACGACAUGUCACCUCGCAGUGAGAGUAAAAGAGCCGGCAAAUGGAAGUGAUUACCUCUAAUAUUCUCCAUCUGGGAGCAAUUGCCUCAGAAGACGACUUUCAAAGAGAUGUACGGCGGGCAGAGAAGAAGGAGGCAACAGUAAUUUGCACAGGAUUUACAAAUCUCCUGAAUCGAAUUUGGAAAUCUUUGCGCACAUUUUGUUCUCUUCCCCCCCAAGACAGUGACUGAAGAAAUGCACACACACACACACACACACAAGCGUAAGCAAGUCCACAGAGAUAACUCCUGCUUUCUAUUGCAGGGAAUGUUCUUUAUAAAGCUAUUUUGAGAAGAGAGAGCUUUUUUCUUUUUUUGGCAAACUCUUUUCAAUCCCAGAGAAUGAAGUUGUAAUAUGCACUGCAGUUGGCUGGAUUUUGAGGCUCAGACAUCAAUACUCAAUAUAUCUCGCUGUCUGUCUGUGAGCAAUCACAAACCACCCAAGAAAUAGUUGCCAGUGUGUGUGAGAGUUGAGCCUGAGCCAGGUCAGAAGUGAUCAAAGGCUAUAGAGAAGGGGAUGGGGAUCGGGGAUGGGGGGGGGGGUUAUCUGGUCCCAAUUACAGUCAAUCAUGGGAAAUUGGCAAAGUGCAAAGCGAGAGAGAUCUUCAUGUUGAGAGCAGGGGGCCAGAUGAGCCAAGGUGGUCCUUUGACAUAUCUGACUUCAGAGGCGACAGCAAAAUGAAGAUUUGAAGAUCUUUUCUUGUUUGUAUUUAUGCGUCUUUGUUGCUGUGGGUUACAAUUACAUUCACCUCACAACUAUUCUGUUUUUAAUCUUAAUCUUUAGUUGAUAUUAGUGCUAUAACACACAAUCUUUAAAAAAAAUAAAGCCUUGCCAGUAUUAAUCGUGGCAUAAAUUACUUAAAGGACACGGAAAACUUGAACCAAAAGUCAAGUAUUGAAGAAAUAAUGGCUAAUAGAUCCUUUUAGGGCAUUUAGGUUGAGAAAGUUUGAUUUACUAUCUGGUUUCCUUGCAAAUAUAUCCACACUGUUUAACUUUUAGCAUGCAAGCUCUGGAGCAUGCAAACAA